Long non-coding RNA from Lemur catta (Ring-tailed lemur), 521 nucleotides. RefSeq lists it as uncharacterized. The transcript has 3 exons. The record is from RefSeq and is a predicted model, not a curated record. NCBI's taxonomy places the organism in Eukaryota, Metazoa, Chordata, Mammalia, Primates, Lemuridae.
UCCCAACCAACGACCAAACCGCUCUGCGCUCCAAACCCCCCCGACGUCUGCGUUUUUAUAUCCACGCUUCACGCUGCGUCUCUGCGUCAUAGAGCCCUUAUUUGCAUACACCAACGACUUUUUCCAUUGGUGGACGCCUUCGCCGACGCGCUGACAUCCCCCGACACAAAGGCCGUGCUUCGGCACCGUUCCUUGAUUGGUUAGUCCGGCCGCAGGGAUGAAGAGGAUGUUGGCGGACUCCAGGUGUUUGCAGUUCAGAGACCCAGAGUUAAGCACCGACAAUACAGAUUCUUAAGCCUUGUUUGGAGGCACUGCUCCGAGCCGGCGUUAGAACCGUGCCCGAGGUGUACUAAGUAUGGAGGCAAGGAACUCCAAUUUCAAGGAAAGGCUUCCCUAUGAAACUGAAAACGCGCUGGUAAAAAACGAGAACCGCGACCGAACUGCAAUUCCCAGAAGCCAUCGCCAGCCGUCAGCAUCCGGGACACCGUCUGCAAAGAUCCCUGGGUAUUGUGGUCCCGUGC